Molecule: unclassified non-coding RNA, 86 nt
Filed under: Pseudomonas brassicacearum
Lineage: Bacteria; Pseudomonadati; Pseudomonadota; Gammaproteobacteria; Pseudomonadales; Pseudomonadaceae
Source: RNAcentral
CGAGGGGAUUUAUCCCCGUUGGGUUGCGCAGCAACCCUGAAUCUUUUGGGGUCUGCUGCGCAGCCCAGCGGGGAUAAAUCCCCUCG